RNAcentral lists this long non-coding RNA (1613 nucleotides) under Gossypium barbadense (sea-island cotton). RNAcentral describes it as "long non-coding RNA (GBAR_LNC001778)". The record is from RNAcentral. Lineage: Eukaryota; Viridiplantae; Streptophyta; Magnoliopsida; Malvales; Malvaceae.
UUCAAAGUGUGAUGUUAAUACUACAGAAACGAAUUUACAAGAAUAAUAAAAAAACAAUCAUCUAAAGUUGUUUUUUUUUUUAAAAAUAAUAAUGAAUUAAGAACACAGAGGGUUAUACGCUAAAAGGACUUAAUUAAAAACGAUCCAAAAUAAAAGGGAAAAUUUGAAAACAAAAUAUAAAAGAAAGGACCACUGCGCGAUGCGCGCAAAUGCACAGGGGCUCAAUCUGGAAAUAUUCCAGGCUCCCAAAACGCGGCGCUGAAGCGCGGGUCAAAUUGCAAACGUGCGUAAAUUAAAGGAAACAAUUUAAAAAAAAAAGAAAAAAGCACAGAUAGGCCGAUUUAAACUUGGUGCAAAAGGAAAGGGAUUUAAAGCGCAAUUAACCCCUCACCGCAAAAACACGCGGAUCCCAGGGGCUAGGAGUCGGGUCGGUCGGGUCUUGUCCAUACGGCACCGUUUUGGAGCCAGCGGGCUCAAACGGUGUCGUUUUUAGUUGCUUAAAAGGGCCCCAAAGCUGAGCUAUUCGACUGAAUCAAUAGAGAAGGGAAACCCUAAUCCUCUGCGCCGUUUAACCUCUGUUUCGUCCUUUCAAACGAUGAAUAGCGCCCCGAUAGUGCCUUUUUCCUUCCUUAUUCCGAAUCCAACCCUAUAGUCUGCCGAUUUCAGCCUUGGAAUCUUCCCAAACUUCGACACCAACGAAGAAGAUAGAUUCCAGUGGCUUAUACACAAAGGUAAGUCUUCGUUUUGACUUUAUUAUACUCGGAAAACACAUGCCAAACCAAGGAAGAUGAAACAAAAUUGAGAGAAAGAACGUAUGAGCGCUCAAAAUCACCUUUUUUCUUGCUAAUUUCUGUAUUGUAUAUCUGCGUAUAUUGCCUCUGCUUUGUAUUGCUACUGAAUGCUUCAGUAAAAAAAAAGGGAACCCCUCUACAAUAUAAAAUCAUCGGCUUUAUAGCCGAAUGUUCAAAAAAGAAAUAAAAAGAAAUACAAUUUUGUGCUUUUUUCGUAUUGGCCAUUGUUUCUGUUGUCGUCUUGUUCAUUUCUUUGCAGGUACAGGUGCGUGGCGUAUGUACGAGGGCAUGUGCUGGCGUAGGAGGAGUGUACGGCGCCUGGAGGCUGCUAGGGCUGCUACGGCGCAAGCCAAUGCUGCUAGGGUUUGCUGACAUUAGGCUGGAUUUCUGGGCCGUUUAGGGUAUUGAGCUAGGACAUUGGGCUUGUGACUUGGUUUUAAUUUUAGGUCUAGGUUAUGUAAUUGGUUUGGGCCAUGUAAUGAUUUGGUUUGUAAAAAGACAUUAAUUAAUGGACUGUUAUAAUUUUAUUUAUUUUAUGUUUAUGGUUUUUUAGUUUAUUUGGGCCAGGCAAAUUUGGCCCACUACAGUGGGUUGCUACUACUAGCAGCUAAAUCAGGAGCUGCACUGAAACUCUAAUUGGUUCUGCACGAAGAUCCUGUCAAGUCUGAUGUUCCCAGAUUGAUGAUUUAGUUGCUGAGAUUGAUGUUUUUAAAAGUUGACCGAUGGGUAAUUAUCGCCUUAAAUUACCCCCACAUCCUAAUACCAUUAUCUACCUAUUUAAUUAUCUAAAAUUUCUCUCUAUUCAAAAGCUUUGCAUACCCG